CCCACUGAAAGAAGUCCCCAGAAGAUGAGC
Molecule: non-coding RNA, 30 nt
Filed under: Homo sapiens (human)
Lineage: Eukaryota; Metazoa; Chordata; Mammalia; Primates; Hominidae
Source: RNAcentral